UGUCCCUACGGAGACAUCUUAUAAAAAUUAGAACGAUAUAGAGAAGAUUGCCAUGACCCGUAUCCAUAUGCAAGGAUGACACACAAAUCACAAAAAAAAAUAUGAUUUCU
Molecule: small nuclear RNA, 110 nt
Filed under: Trifolium pratense (red clover)
Lineage: Eukaryota; Viridiplantae; Streptophyta; Magnoliopsida; Fabales; Fabaceae
Source: RNAcentral